CAGCAGCCGCGGUAACACGGAGGGUGCAAGCGUUAAUCGGAAUUACUGGGCGUAAAGCGCACGCAGGCGGUCUGUCAAGUCAGAUGUGAAAUCCCCGGGCUUAACCUGGGAACUGCAUUUGAAACUGACAGGCUAGAGUCUUGUAGAGGGGGGUAGAAUUCCAGGUGUAGCGGUGAAAUGCGUAGAGAUCUGGAGGAAUACCGGUGGCGAAGGCGGCCCCCUGGACAAAGACUGACGCUCAGGUGCGAAAGCGUGGGGAGCAAACAGGAUUAGAUACCCGGGUAGUCCCUGUCUCUUAUAC
Molecule: ribosomal RNA, 301 nt
Filed under: uncultured bacterium
Lineage: Bacteria
Description: partial 16S ribosomal RNA
Rfam family: Bacterial small subunit ribosomal RNA
Source: RNAcentral